GAUGAACGCUGACAGAAUGCUUAACACAUGCAAGUCGAUGGGGAAGUGGUGCUUGCACCAUGGCAACCAUGGCGGACGGGUGAGUAACGCGUAAGGGACUUACCUGCAGGACUGGGAUAACAGGGGGAAACUCCUGACAAGACCGGAUAAUGUCAUGGAGCUGCAUGGCUUUAUGAUGAAAGGAGACGCCUGCGGAGAGCCUUGCGUCCUAUUAGCUAGUUGGUGAGGUAAUGGCUCACCAAGGCGAAGAUAGGUAGCCGGCCUGAGAGGGUGGACGGCCACAAGGGGACUGAGAUACGGCCCUUACUCCUACGGGAGGCAGCAGUGGGGAAUAUUGGACAAUGGGGGCAACCCUGAUCCAGCAAUUCCGUGUGCACGAAGAAGGUUUUCGGAUUGUAAAGUGCUUUCAGCAGGGAAGAAGUAAGUGACGGUACCUGCAGAAGAAGCGACGGCUAAAUGCGUG
Molecule: ribosomal RNA, 463 nt
Filed under: uncultured bacterium
Lineage: Bacteria
Description: partial 16S ribosomal RNA
Rfam family: Bacterial small subunit ribosomal RNA
Source: RNAcentral